ACGGGAGGCAGCAGUGGGGAAUAUUGCACAAUGGGCGCAAGCCUGAUGCAGCGAUGCCGCGUGAGGGAAGAAGGUUUUCGGAUUGUAAACCUCUGUCAUCGGGGACGAUAAUGACUGUACCCGAGAAGGAAGCUCCGGCUAACUACGUGCCAGCAGCCGCGGUAAUACGUAGGGAGCGAGCGUUAUCCGGAAUGAUUGGGCGUAAAGGGCGCGUAGGCGGCCUGUUAAGUCUGGAGUGAAAGUCCUGCUUUUAAGGUGGGAAUUGCUUUGGAUACUGAUGGGCUUGAGUGCAGGAGAGGUAAGUGGAAUUCCCAGUGUAGCGGUGAAAUGCGUAGAGAUUGGGAGGAACACCAGUGGCGAAGGCGACUUACUGGACUGUAACUGACGCUGAGGCGCGAAAGUGUGGGGAGCAAACAGGAUUAGAUACCCUGGUA
RNAcentral lists this ribosomal RNA (434 nucleotides) under uncultured bacterium. Its description in RNAcentral is "partial 16S ribosomal RNA". It matches the Rfam family "Bacterial small subunit ribosomal RNA", at positions 341 to 792 of the family's 1533-position model. The record is from RNAcentral.